RNAcentral lists this ribosomal RNA (461 nucleotides) under uncultured Sphingobacteriales bacterium. Its description in RNAcentral is "bacterial SSU rRNA". It matches the Rfam family "Bacterial small subunit ribosomal RNA", at positions 920 to 1382 of the family's 1533-position model. Lineage: Bacteria; Pseudomonadati; Bacteroidota; Sphingobacteriia; Sphingobacteriales. The record is from RNAcentral.
CCCGCACAAGCGGAGGAACAUGUGGUUAAUUCGAUGAUACGCGAGGAACCUUACCUGGGCUUAAAUGUAGAGUGCAUUUUCUAGAGAUAGGAAUUCCCUUCGGGGCUUUCUACAAGGUGCUGCAUGGUUGUCGUCAGCUCGUGCCGUGAGGUGUCGGGUUAAGUCCCAUAACGAGCGCAACCCUUAUCGUUAGUUGCCAUCUGGUAAAGCAGGGGACUCUAGCGAAACUGCCACCGUAAGGUGAGAGGAAGGUGGGGAUGACGUCAAAUCAGCACGGCCCUUAUGUCCAGGGCUACACACGUGUUACAAUGGUCGGUACAGAGGGCAGCUACCUGGUGACAGGAUGCUAAUCUCGAAAACCGGCCUCAGUUCGGAUCGAAGUCUGCAACUCGACUUCGUGAAGCUGGAUUCGCUAGUAAUCGCGCAUCAGCCAUGGCGCGGUGAAUACGUUCCCGGGCCUU